GCAAGUCGAACGCGAAAGUUUUCUUCGGAACCAAGUAGAGUGGCGCACGGGUGAGUAACGCGUAGAUAACCUACCCCCAAGUCUGGGACAACCUUUCGAAAGGAGGGCUAAUACCGGAUGAUACUUUAUCUCUAAUGAGUUGAAGUUAAAAGAUUUAUCGCUCGGGGAUGGGUCUGCGUAGCAUUAGCUAGUUGGUAAGGUAACGGCUUACCAAGGCAACGAUGUUUAGCGGGUCUGAGAGGAUGAUC
RNAcentral lists this ribosomal RNA (248 nucleotides) under uncultured bacterium. Its description in RNAcentral is "partial 16S ribosomal RNA". It matches the Rfam family "Bacterial small subunit ribosomal RNA", at positions 57 to 305 of the family's 1533-position model. The record is from RNAcentral.